UUGUAUGACGGUUUAACAAAAAUUUUGUUUAUAAAAAAAUAAUAUAAUUUUAAGUAGUGGUUAAAAUUCUACUGUGCUUUUGAGGGACGAUAAGACCCUAAAAGCUUUAUUUAUUAUUAUUUUUUGUUAUUUUUAUAACAUAAAGGAGUAAAAUAAUGUUUAGCUGGGGUAGUUAGAGUUUAUAAAUAGUUUUUAUAUAAAACAACGGGUAAUGAUCCUUGAAAUCAGGAGAAAAAGUGAAAGUUACUUUAGGGGUAACAGGGUAAUAGUUUUAGAUAGAACUUAUUGAUGAGAAUUGUUUGCUACCUCGAUGUUGAAUUAGAAUUUUUUUACUUUGUAGUAGUAGUUUUAAAUAGUUUGUUCAACUAUUAAAUUUUUACAUGAUUU
RNAcentral lists this ribosomal RNA (387 nucleotides) under Leptophoxus sp. BOLD:ADK9139. RNAcentral describes it as "partial 16S ribosomal RNA". Lineage: Eukaryota; Metazoa; Arthropoda; Malacostraca; Amphipoda; Phoxocephalidae. The record is from RNAcentral.